Molecule: ribosomal RNA, 517 nt
Filed under: Lactiplantibacillus plantarum
Lineage: Bacteria; Bacillati; Bacillota; Bacilli; Lactobacillales; Lactobacillaceae
Description: bacterial SSU rRNA
Rfam family: Bacterial small subunit ribosomal RNA
Source: RNAcentral
UAGAGUUUGAUCCUGGCUCAGGACGAACGCUGGCGGCGUGCCUAAUACAUGCAAGUCGAACGAACUCUGGUAUUGAUUGGUGCUUGCAUCAUGAUUUACAUUUGAGUGAGUGGCGAACUGGUGAGUAACACGUGGGAAACCUGCCCAGAAGCGGGGGAUAACACCUGGAAACAGAUGCUAAUACCGCAUAACAACUUGGACCGCAUGGUCCGAGUUUGAAAGAUGGCUUCGGCUAUCACUUUUGGAUGGUCCCGCGGCGUAUUAGCUAGAUGGUGGGGUAACGGCUCACCAUGGCAAUGAUACGUAGCCGACCUGAGAGGGUAAUCGGCCACAUUGGGACUGAGACACGGCCCAAACUCCUACGGGAGGCAGCAGUAGGGAAUCUUCCACAAUGGACGAAAGUCUGAUGGAGCAACGCCGCGUGAGUGAAGAAGGGUUUCGGCUCGUAAAACUCUGUUGUUAAAGAAGAACAUAUCUGAGAGUAACUGUUCAGGUAUUGACGGUAUUUAACCGAAAG